Long non-coding RNA from Cucumis sativus (cucumber), 764 nucleotides. RefSeq lists it as uncharacterized. The record is from RefSeq and is a predicted model, not a curated record. NCBI's taxonomy places the organism in Eukaryota, Viridiplantae, Streptophyta, Magnoliopsida, Cucurbitales, Cucurbitaceae. The transcript has 2 exons.
UUCAAUGACACAAUGAAAUAAAAAAUAAAUGGGUUUAGGAGGAAAAAUGUGUCAUUCUUAUUAAACAGGCAUGUUUUUUUUAAAGAAGAUAGAAACUCCUUCACGAAAAAACACCAACCCUUUUCCUCAGUAAGCCUCUUCACCUUCUCCAUGAUUUCGAUUACCACCUCCUUCAACCCUGAUGCAAGCACCAGUCGUCGCCUUUGUCACCCCUCUCCCCUUCUGUCUGACAUUUUCUUCUCUUCUUCGUCAACUGCAUCUCACGAAUCCCAAAUUUAGUGUUGUCGUCCAGCUUCAGUCGCCACCAAACAGGUUUGGGGUUUUUGGCUUGAUUGGGCUCCUGUUCCAAUUGUUUGAGCAUUGUGCAACGAUUUCGGCAACUUCUAAAGUUGUCAUCCAGUUUGAGGUUGCACGAAGAACGAGGAAAAAGGAGAGAAGAAAAAAGCUUCACUUCUCCAUGCGCCUGCCUCGAGGAGGCAAUUGAAGAGGCAAAGAAGAGAAAUGGGCGAUAACUAAAGUAGGGGUCGAAUGCCAGCGUCGAGAGUUCUACCAAGUCCCUCCCACCACAACACAAAGAGUUGCAUCUUGGUGGCGAAGAGAGGUUGGUACAUUGCUACACGAUGAGACAAGUAAAUCUGACAUAAAGAUGAAAAAGAGGUACCAAGCUAUAGGAUCAUGUUUUAAGUCGUGUUAUAAGAGAAAAGUUUAAAUUAUGUAGAACAUUGUAAAAGUGUUAAGUUAAUAAAAAAAACAUUUCAUACUCA